AGAAGACCAAAUAAAUGAACCCUAAGAAAUAGGGCAGCGAACAAAAAGAGUGCGAACACUAAAAUUCUUUUUCUAUCUCGCAUUAUUUCUUGUAUCUUUGUUAAGAAGCUUCCUCUGGUGGCCACUAUGCAUUGCAUGCUUUGAAUGAACUGGGGUUUUGAUGUAUAACUUCAAUAGGCUCAUGCAUGUUCUAAUUCUUCCACAUGACUAUCACUGCAUACUUUUUGAAAAUAGUCAUUUGUCACUGUGACUGUAUUACUGUAUUUGACUAUGGCUUUUGCUCAUGGAUUACAUAAUGACUGUUAUGAUGGCUAAGAAUAGCUUUUGCUGUCGACUAUACUUUUCAGAUUCUUGGAUCCUCGUCUAUCCAUGUAUCUCUUAAGGCAUGCAAGUUCUCUAGACUGUCCUUUGUAUGUACAUUUGUUACAAGUCUUCUCAUUCUUUGAUAGGCGUCUUUAGCUUGUACCUCUCUUAAUCAAUGAGCUAAUCAAAUAUGUCAGACCCGAUGUUUAUUCUUUCUCUAUUCACUAUUUCUCCAUGACUAUCUCAGUCUUGAUUUUGACAGUGAAUAGGCCUCUUUAUUGUUCUGAAUAUAUAUCUUUUGUUUGUCUUAGCACAAUCUCAUUUCGUGACUGUAGUGUAAUUGUACAUCAUAAUGAAUUCUCCUUUAUAUCUGCUCAUUUGUAUCUGCUCACUGCUAUAGUGUUAUAUCAUUUCUUCAUGUCACUAUCUUAUCUCAGUUGUUCCAUUUAUUGCUAACAUGACUUAUCCUGUGAAUGUCCGUCCUUUUUUUUGGCUCUGAGAUUAAGCAUUAUGCUACUACUAUCACAGUUCCUUAUUGCCUAAAUCUGCUUGUAUGUUGUGAUCUCAUGUGUACUUUCUACAGCAGAUCUUGGAUGAAGAUUGUGAUUGUGGUUGCAUUUUAUCUUUAUAAAGACAAUGAUCAAGAUUAUUCUCUUUAUGCUAAGUGAUAUUACUACCCUUGGAUCCUUGGUUAAUAUUCUGCUCUAAUAUAUUUGAUAAUGGUGUAGCCCCGCGGAUACCCUUAUUAGAAAUGCUUCGUCGAGUGUGAUUUAGCCACGUGAAUUACUCUAGCACCAUAGCACUAUGUCUUCAUGCACUAAGCAAGGUAAGAUAACUGUCUCAGAGCUCCAAUAGGACUGCUCUACUUCUUUUGUGAUUGUAUGUCCUUUGUGAUCCUGUUGAUGACCUGCUAUGUGAGUGAAACCCUUUCAAUCUACAGGAAUGAGACCAUGAUCUGUUCUGAUCUGUUAUUUAAUAAUGAGCUAAAACUAUAAUCUGCUCCAUCAUUUGAUAAUCUGUACUAUUCUUGGCAGUAAUAUGACUAUCUCUUGCUAGAUGAGUCUCACUUUUAUUGUCCUUAUGGGUUGUUCAUUGUUUCACUACAUCCUCUAUCAGUGUUGUUGUGAUGUAAUAGCUAACAUGCAAAUCUAUGAUUGAUGGUUGUCACUCUAAUGUGCAACUCUUUGUGACUGUCUAGGGUUAUAGAUGAUAAUAUUGAUAACCUUGGGGCUUGACAUUGAAACUCCAUUGCUUUUAUCCCCUUUGGAUAGUAUAACUUUGCACUCUGGUUAUCCAUUACUCUUAUGACUGUAAUUGUUGUUAUUAAUCAUCUUUUGAUGACUGUGUCUCUUGGUUAUGACUGUCAUUUGGCAUACAUUUGAUAUGAGAUUUGCUUGAGAUCUAUCUUUCUAUAACUGUAACCAUUCCUUGGCUAUAAUAACCUUCUCUGUUACUUGAUAUAUUAAUAUGGAGCUAUUCUUUGUCUAUUACUUUUGAUAUGCUCCAUCUUUCAUACUGUCAUGUUCUAUGAAGGUAUAAAUAUUGUCUUAAGGUUUGUUGUUAUAUGUUUGCAAGAUUCCCGAGACUUGUUAGCUUGUUGCCUAUUGUUUAAAAUGCAUAUGACCAUUUGUUGAUGGAUUAAUCUAUCAUUGCCAAAGGCCUACUAAUUAUGUGUAUCUAACAUGAUAAUAUGACUAUCAUGGAUAUUCUCUACUGUCUUUUGAUAGUGAACCUUGAAAUAUCAAGGAUGAAAGCUGCAACAUUAUUUCUCGAGGAUUGGUCAUAGGUUGUAACAUUGUAUUGUGUUAUCCCUGUAAUGAUCUUAGCUCUCUAUGUAAGGGUUGUACUCUAGAGGUCUGCUAAUUUAUGCUCCUUACCAACAUUAAGCUUAUUGUAGCAAUAUUGAACUUAUAUUCAUGUAGUCUUGUGACUGCAAUCGCUUUUAGCUAUCUAUAACUUUUGUGAAUGACUGUUCUUUAUCAUAAAUAGCUAGGGUUUUGUCUUUAGCGUUAUAUCUUGCUAUGUGUUACUGUAACUUGUAGAUAUAACAACCUCUAUAUGUUAAAUAUGUAUCAAUGUAGAUCUUGAAUAUGUUGCCCACUGCUUAUGAUUUGCAUGUGCUUUUAACCUUCAAUGAUCCUUUUGAUUGAUCCACUUUGAGUUGAUCCUCAUUCUUUUCACAAUAUCUCUAUCUCGCUGUCAAAAUUGACUGUUCUUUGGAAUGUGAUCAUAUCUUCUCAACAUUAAAUAUCUCCAUCUAUUUACUGUGCAUUGACUGGGACUUCCACUUGCUCUGUUAUAUUUUGAAGACUGUACUUUUGCAUUAUUGUACUUUAAGCUUCUUAAAGGCUAUGAAUGCACUUUUAGGCUUUGACCUUUGAGGAUGACUAUUCUAGAUAUCUUUGAUAGAGAUUUCCAUUUUUCAUUGUGGACUGUUAUUAAUCAUAUGACUGCACUAUUUGCUUUUAAUAACUAUGAACAAUUUGAUCAUUGAUUGCGAAUCUGGGAGUGCAUCUUUGUGUUGAUCAAAGCCCUUACCAAGAUGCUCACUGUAUAUUGGUCACAAUAUCUGUUAUUUAUAAUUGUAUGCUCUAUGAAUUAGAUCUUGUGGCUCUGUCAUGGACUCUUGAUCAUGAUUGGUCUCUUCCUUCAAGGAUGAUUAAUCAUUGUUAUAUUGUAUUGAAUGUGAUUAUGGAGACUAUGUGGUGCCUUUCCUUGAUAUUUUUGUGAUAUAUUUCUCCUUGUAGCAUGAUUGUAUUUACUUUUGUGUAUUUGGACCAUGAACUUUGAUGAUAUUAAUGACUACAUUGAUUGCUUCUUAUCCCUACAACCUAUACCCCUGUAGCUAAAUUUUGGUGUAAGUGGAUUGCAUAUGAGAAUCCCCUUUUGAUA
This is a long non-coding RNA of Cryptomeria japonica (Japanese cedar), 3195 nucleotides long. RefSeq lists it as uncharacterized. The transcript is spliced from 2 exons. Lineage: Eukaryota; Viridiplantae; Streptophyta; Pinopsida; Cupressales; Cupressaceae. The record is from RefSeq and is a predicted model, not a curated record.